This 72-nucleotide transfer RNA is filed under the name Heliconius melpomene (postman butterfly). Its description in RNAcentral is "tRNA HMEL006619". It matches the Rfam family "tRNA". From Rfam's summary of the family: Transfer RNA (tRNA) molecules are approximately 80 nucleotides in length. Their secondary structure includes four short double-helical elements and three loops (D, anti-codon, and T loops). Further hydrogen bonds mediate the characteristic L-shaped molecular structure. tRNAs have two regions of fundamental functional importance: the anti-codon, which is responsible for specific mRNA codon recognition, and the 3' end, to which the tRNAs corresponding amino acid is attached (by aminoacyl-tRNA synthetases). tRNAs cope with the degeneracy of the genetic code in two manners: having more than one tRNA (with a specific anti-codon) for a particular amino acid; and 'wobble' base-pairing, i.e. permitting non-standard base-pairing at the 3rd anti-codon position. Lineage: Eukaryota; Metazoa; Arthropoda; Insecta; Lepidoptera; Nymphalidae. The record is from RNAcentral.
GAACGUAUGGCUUAGUGCUCAAAGCGCUUAGACGGUUUCCAAGAGGUGCAGGUUCAAAUCUGGCUACGUUAA